RNAcentral lists this ribosomal RNA (913 nucleotides) under uncultured marine archaeon. Its description in RNAcentral is "bacterial SSU rRNA". It matches the Rfam family "Archaeal small subunit ribosomal RNA", at positions 1 to 922 of the family's 1478-position model. The record is from RNAcentral.
UCCGGUUGAUCCCGCCGGACCUGACUGCUAUCGGAUUGAUACUAAGCCAUGCGAGUCAUUGUAGCAAUACAAGGCAUACGGCUCAGUAACGCGUAGUCAACCUAACCUAUGGACGGGAAUAACCUCGGGAAACUGAGAAUAAUGCCCGAUAGAACAUUAUACCUGGAAUGGUUUAUGUUCCAAAUGAUUUAUCGCCGUAGGAUGGGACUGCGGCCUAUCAGUUUGUUGGUGAGGUAAUGGCCCACCAAGACUAUUACAGGUACGGGCUCUGAGAGGAGUAGCCCGGAGAUGGGUACUGAGACACGGACCCAGGCCCUAUGGGGCGCAGCAGGCGAGAAAACUUUGCAAUGUGCGAAAGCACGACAAGGUUAAUCCGAGUGAUUUCUGCUAAAGAGAUCUUUUGUUAGUCCUAGAAACACUAACGAAUAAGGGGUGGGCAAGUUCUGGUGUCAGCCGCCGCGGUAAAACCAGCAUCUCAAGUGGUCAGGAUGAUUAUUGGGCCUAAAGCAUCCGUAGCCGGCUCUGUAAGUUUUCGGUUAAAUCUGUACGCUUAACGUACAGGCCGCCGGGAAUACUGCAAAGCUAGGGAGUGGGAGAAGUAGACGGUACUCGGUAGGAAGUGGUAAAAUGCUUUGAUCUAUCGAUGACCACCUGUGGCGAAGGCGGUCUACUAGAACACGUCCGACGGUGAGGGAUGAAAGCUGGGGGAGCAAACCGGAUUAGAUACCCGGGUAGUCCCAGCUGUAAACUAUGCAAACUCAGUGAUGCAUUGGCUUGUGGCCAAUGCAGUGCUGCAGGGAAGCCGUUAAGUUUGCCGCCUGGGAAGUACGUACGCAAGUAUGAAACUUAAAGGAAUUGGCGGGGGAGCACCACAAGGGGUGAAGCCUGCGGUUCAAUUGGAUUCAACGCCGGA